CUUCCUAUAUUUCAUUUUACUUUGCCUCUCACUCUCAUUCUUCUCUUCCGUUCAUCUCAUCCCUCUCACUCACAUUUCUCCGUCUUUAAAAUUAGGGCAGGAAGGGGGCAUUAUUGUGGUUGGUUUUCACUCGCAUUGAAGCAGUACGAAGGAUUGCGAUUUUGGCAUCCUUGUGUAGGUCAAAACCUUAGUACCGGUUCCAUCUGGGUGAUUAUCGCGAUUCCUAUUUUUUUUUGUGAGGUGCGUUUUGGAGUGCUGCAGGUGACGUGGUCCCUUCAAUUUUUGGUUCCGAUUGCUGUGUGUGGCGUUUUCAUUUGAGAAGGCUGCAGGCUUUAGCACAGAGCAUCAACUACAGACUACCCUGAACAACCCACCUUCAUCGUCUUGAGGCCUGAGAAAAAAUUCAAAGUUAGAAAACCUGCACCCUUCAACUGAGUACUUUUGCAAGGCUUUUCAAAAUGGACUUGUGAAGCACAUGCUAUUCAACCGCAGUUUGAUUCUACUUAUUCUCCACUGGCCUUGACGUUGAGGGUGGCUGGUUGUUGACUUUUUUUUUGUUGUGUUCCUAUUUCAAAUUUCAAAUUUCAAAUUUUUAAUGAUUCAUCUCCCAUGGGAGCUGCAGACAUGGAAGACCAAAUGGUGUUUCUAGAAAUUUGGCUAGAAUUCAAUAGUGUAUAUACAUUAAUGUAAUAUUUAGAUUUAAUAUAUAGUUUUAUGUAUAAAUGGUAUUAAAUUAUUAGAUGAUUUAAUGUUUGAAAUGAAUUCUAUUUUGUUAGUAUCA
Long non-coding RNA from Vigna angularis (adzuki bean), 781 nucleotides. RefSeq lists it as uncharacterized. NCBI's taxonomy places the organism in Eukaryota, Viridiplantae, Streptophyta, Magnoliopsida, Fabales, Fabaceae. The transcript is spliced from 5 exons. The record is from RefSeq and is a predicted model, not a curated record.